RNAcentral lists this ribosomal RNA (468 nucleotides) under uncultured bacterium. RNAcentral describes it as "partial 16S ribosomal RNA". It matches the Rfam family "Bacterial small subunit ribosomal RNA", at positions 28 to 507 of the family's 1533-position model. The record is from RNAcentral.
GACGAACGCUGGCGGCGUGCUUAACACAUGCAAGUCGAACGGAAAGGCCCUGCUUUUGUGGGGUGCUCGAGUGGCGAACGGGUGAGUAGCACGUGAGUAACCUGCCCUUGACUUUGGGAUAACUUCAGGAAACUGGGGCUAAUACCGGAUAGGAGCUCCUGCUGCAUGGUGGGGGUUGGAAAGUUUCGGCGGUUGGGGAUGGACUCGCGGCUUAUCAGCUUGUUGGUGGGGUAGUGGCUUACCAAGGCUUUGACGGGUAGCCGGCCUGAGAGGGUGACCGGCCACAUUGGGACUGAGAUACGGCCCAGACGCCUACGGGAGGCAGCAGUGGGGAAUAUUGCACAAUGGGCGGAAGCCUGAUGCAGCAACGCCGCGUGCGGGAUGACGGCCUUCGGGUUGUAAACCGCUUUCGCCUGUGACGAAGCGUGAGUGACGGUAAUGGGUAAAGAAGCACCGGCUAACUACGUG